Molecule: transfer RNA, 75 nt
Filed under: Chloroflexus islandicus
Lineage: Bacteria; Bacillati; Chloroflexota; Chloroflexia; Chloroflexales; Chloroflexaceae
Also listed under: 1 other name
Description: tRNA-Met
Rfam family: tRNA
About the family: Transfer RNA (tRNA) molecules are approximately 80 nucleotides in length. Their secondary structure includes four short double-helical elements and three loops (D, anti-codon, and T loops). Further hydrogen bonds mediate the characteristic L-shaped molecular structure. tRNAs have two regions of fundamental functional importance: the anti-codon, which is responsible for specific mRNA codon recognition, and the 3' end, to which the tRNAs corresponding amino acid is attached (by aminoacyl-tRNA synthetases). tRNAs cope with the degeneracy of the genetic code in two manners: having more than one tRNA (with a specific anti-codon) for a particular amino acid; and 'wobble' base-pairing, i.e. permitting non-standard base-pairing at the 3rd anti-codon position.
Source: RNAcentral
GCCGGGGUAGCUCAGUGGUAGAGCAAACGGCUCAUAAUCGUUAGGUCGCGGGUUCGAAUCCCGCCUCCGGCACCA